Molecule: ribosomal RNA, 443 nt
Filed under: uncultured bacterium
Lineage: Bacteria
Description: partial 16S ribosomal RNA
Rfam family: Bacterial small subunit ribosomal RNA
Source: RNAcentral
CCUACGGGGGGCAGCAGUGGGGAAUAUUGGGCAAUGGGCGCAAGCCUGACCCAGCAACGCUGCGUGAAGGAAGAAGGCCUUCGGGUUGUAAACUUCUUUUUUCAGGGACGAAGAAAGUGCCGCUACCUGAGGUAUAAGCCACGGCUAACUACGUGCCAGCAGCCGCGGUAAUACGUAGGUGGCAAGCGUUAUCCGGAUUUAUUGGGUGUACAGGGCGUGUAGGCGGGAGCGCAAGUCAGAUGUGAAAACUCAGGGCUCAACCCUGAGCCUGCAUUUGAAACUGUGGUUCUUGAGUGCUGGAGAGGCAAUCGGAAUUCCGUGUGUAGCGGGGAAAUGCGUAGAUAUACGGAAGAACACCAGUGGCGAAGGCGGAUUGCUGGACAGUAACUGACGCUGAGGCGCGAAAGCGUGGGGAGCAAACAGGAUUAGAUACCCUUGUAGUC